AAAGAAAGCAAACCUCAGGACUCUGUGCACGUGCUUUUAUCCAUUCUGGUGUGUUAUGUCACUAACUGGGAUCAAUACAGGAAAGGAUCAGCCAAGUUCACACCAGAUAAUGUAGACCCUUACUUGUGUACCCAUCUGAUCUUUGCUUUUGCUGGCAUACAAAAUAACCAAAUUACUACUACAGAAUGGAAUGAUGAAUUACUUUACAGGCAGCUCAAUGCCUUAAAGAAGAAAAAUAACAUGCUGCUCACAUUGCUGGCUGUUGGAGGAGGCACCUUUGAUAAUGAGAAGUUCAUCACCAUUGUAUCCUCUCCAACAAAUCGCCAGAUAUUCAUCACAUCAGUGAUAAACUUACUCCGAACAUAUGGUUUCGAUGGUUUGGAUCUUGACUGGGAAUAUCCUGGUUCCAAAGGGAGCCCCCCAGAGGAUAAACAUCGCUUCACUGUUUUGACUCAGGAAAUCUCAGCUGCUUUUAGGAAGGAAAGUGAAGCAACAGGAUGCCCACGACUAUUGCUUUCUGCAGCAGUGGCUUCCAACAAAUAUACCAUUGAUGCUGGAUAUGAAAUUGCAGCCCUUGGGAAGAGUUUGGAUUUUAUUAAUGUGAUGACAUAUGACUUCCAUGGAAGUUGGGCACCUGUAACAGGACACAACAGCCCUCUCUAUAAGGGCUCACAUGACUAUGAUCCAGUUCCUUUCUACAACUGCGAAUAUGCCAUGAAAUACUGGAAAGACAACGGAGCCCCUCCUGAGAAACUCAUGAUGGGAUUUCCAACAUAUGGACGAUCCUUCAAACUUUCUGGUACAGAUACUGGAGUUGGUGCUUCAGCCUCUGGUGGAGGCUCUCCUGGAGCCUAUACCAGGCAGUCUGGUAUCUUGGCAUAUUAUGAGGUCUGUGAUUUUUUAAAUGGAGCUACCAAGGCAUGGAUUGAAGAGCAGAAAGUUCCUUAUGCUUUCAAAGAUGGUGAAUGGGUUGGAUAUGACAAUGAAAGGAGUUUUCAGUUAAAAGCUGAGUUCUUGAAGAGAGAACAAUAUGGAGGAGCUGUGGUUUGGACUCUUGGCAUGGAUGAUUUCUCUGGCACCUUCUGUGGUCAAGGACCCAAUGUCCUUGUUAAUAAACUAAAAGACACCUUCAAAAACUGA
This 1140-nucleotide long non-coding RNA is filed under the name Pogona vitticeps (central bearded dragon). RNAcentral's name for it is "lncRNA (ENSPVIG00000010444.1)". Lineage: Eukaryota; Metazoa; Chordata; Lepidosauria; Squamata; Agamidae. The record is from RNAcentral.